GAGAGAGAUUACAAAGUUGGAAACCUUAAUUUCUCUUCUUCUUCACUUCGGCCAGCAAGUCUACGGGAGUUUUUCCUCAAUUUUCAGAGGUUUUUUGGUGGAAUCUAAGAGCUCAAUUCGAGCGAGAUAUGAUAUUCAAUCUGAGAUUCUUGGAAGACAAUUUCUAAUCUCAUGGGAUCUGGCAGUAAAGGGAAACAUCCGUCGACAUUCAGAUAUUCGCUAAUUACUUCCUCUGGAUAUAUGGCUUAAUCUUAUCUGAAUGUAUACCAUGCUGGAUGGGAUUCUGCUUGGACGGGCCACUCGCUCCUCGUUCGAAUCAACUGGUCGCUUAUGGAUCUGGCCCAGCUAUUUUAUUUGGGCCCUCUGUUGGGCCUGGGGUAUUUAAGUUGUAUUCGUUAUAGAACUUCCACAUGUCCCUAACUGGAAAUACGGAUAACAGUAUCCAACCAAUAUUUUGUUGGAAUUAUUUUACCAGGAUCUAGAUUUACUACCAUGUAUGUUGUUUAACAUCCUAAUAUGAAUUUCUAAAACAAUGAAAUAAACACAUAUAAAGUUUGAGAAACCUUACA
This is a long non-coding RNA of Cannabis sativa, 569 nucleotides long. RefSeq lists it as uncharacterized. NCBI's taxonomy places the organism in Eukaryota, Viridiplantae, Streptophyta, Magnoliopsida, Rosales, Cannabaceae. The transcript has 2 exons. The record is from RefSeq and is a predicted model, not a curated record.